RNAcentral lists this ribosomal RNA (577 nucleotides) under uncultured bacterium. RNAcentral describes it as "bacterial SSU rRNA". It matches the Rfam family "Bacterial small subunit ribosomal RNA", at positions 338 to 916 of the family's 1533-position model. The record is from RNAcentral.
CCUACGGGAGGCAGCAGUAAGGAAUAUUGGUCAAUGGGCGCAAGCCUGAACCAGCCAUGCCGCGUGCAGGAUGACGGCCCUCUGGGUUGUAAACUGCUUUUAUACGGGAAGAACAGCAUCUACGUGUAGGUGUUUGACGGUACUGUAAGAAUAAGGACCGGCUAACUUCGUGCCAGCAGCCGCGGUAAUACGAAGGGUCCAAGCGUUAUCCGGAUUUAUUGGGUUUAAAGGGUGCGUAGGCGGCUUUUUAAGUCAGUGGUGAAAGCCUGAUGCUCAACAUCAGAACUGCCAUUGAUACUGAAGAGCUUGAGUACAGUUGAGGUUGGCGGAAUGUGUCAUGUAGCGGUGAAAUGCUUAGAUAUGACACAGAACACCGAUUGCGAAGGCAGCUAGCUAAGCUGUUACUGACGCUGAUGCACGAAAGCGUGGGGAGCAAACAGGAUUAGAUACCCUGGUAGUCCACGCCCUAAACGUUGAUAACUCGUUGUUAGCGAUAUACUGUUAGCGACCAAGCGAAAGCAUUAAGUUAUCCACCUGGAAGUACGGUCGCAAGAUUGAAACUCAAAUGAAUUGACGG